This 262-nucleotide non-coding RNA is filed under the name Paenibacillus sp. Soil522. RNAcentral describes it as "partial 16S ribosomal RNA". It matches the Rfam family "Bacterial small subunit ribosomal RNA", at positions 36 to 292 of the family's 1533-position model. Lineage: Bacteria; Bacillati; Bacillota; Bacilli; Caryophanales; Paenibacillaceae. The record is from RNAcentral.
CUGGCGGCGUGCCUAAUACAUGCAAGUCGAGCGGAUCUUGUCCUUCGGGACAAGAUUAGCGGCGGACGGGUGAGUAACACGUGGGUAACCUGCCUGUAAGACUGGGAUAACAUUCGGAAACGAAUGCUAAUACCGGAUACGCGGUUUGGUCGCAUGACCGRACCGGGAAAGAUGGAGCAAUCUAUCACUUACAGAUGGACCCGCGGCGCAUUAGCUAGUUGGUGAGGUAACGGCUCACCAAGGCGACGAUGCGUAGCCGACC